This 253-nucleotide ribosomal RNA is filed under the name uncultured prokaryote. RNAcentral's name for it is "partial 16S ribosomal RNA". It matches the Rfam family "Bacterial small subunit ribosomal RNA", at positions 525 to 777 of the family's 1533-position model. The record is from RNAcentral.
ACGAAGGGGGCUAGCGUUGCUCGGAAUCACUGGGCGUAAAGCGCACGUAGGCGGGUCGUUAAGUCAGGGGUGAAAUCCUGGAGCUCAACUCCAGAACUGCCUUUGAUACUGGCGACCUCGAGUCCGGGAGAGGUGAGUGGAACUGCGAGUGUAGAGGUGAAAUUCGUAGAUAUUCGCAAGAACACCAGUGGCGAAGGCGGCUCACUGGCCCGGUACUGACGCUCAUGCACGAAAGCGUGGGGAGCAAACAGGA